GAAAUGCGAUAAGUAAUGUGAAUUGCAGAUUUUCAGUGAAUCAUCGAAUCUUUGAACGCACCUUGCGCUCCUUGGUAUUCCGAGGAGCAUGCCUGUUUGAGUGUCAUUAAAUCCUCAACCCUCCCUUGCGGGUGUGGCUUGGACUUGGAGCGUGCUGGCGAAGGUCGGCUCCUCUUUAAAUGCAUCAGCGGAAAGCUUUUCUGGCCGUUCGGCGUGAUAACACUGUUGCGCCGUGGAAGCCUCUGUAAAGGCCUCGCUUACAAUCGUCUUCGGACAAAACGACAUCUCAGUCAAAUCCACUUUGACCUCAAAUCAGGUAGGACUACCCGCUGAACUUAA
RNAcentral lists this unclassified non-coding RNA (339 nucleotides) under uncultured Amphinema. RNAcentral's name for it is "sequence contains ITS1". The stretch from base 1 to 106 matches the Rfam family "5.8S ribosomal RNA", at positions 50 to 154 of the family's 154-position model. The record is from RNAcentral. Lineage: Eukaryota; Fungi; Basidiomycota; Agaricomycetes; Atheliales; Atheliaceae.